GACGAACGCUGGCGGCGUGCCUAACACAUGCAAGUCGAACGGAACUCGGGACUUCGGUUCUGAGUUUAGUGGCGAACGGGUGAGUAACGCGUGAGGAACCUGCCUUUCAGUGGGGGACAACAGUUGGAAACGACUGCUAAUACCGCAUAAUGUGUUUUGGGGGCAUCCCCGAGACACCAAAGCUUUAUGUGCUGAAAGAUGGCCUCGCGUCUGAUUAGAUAGUUGGUGAGGUAACGGCUCACCAAGUCUGCGAUCAGUAGCCGGUCUGAGAGGAUGAACGGCCACAUUGGGACUGAGAUACGGCCCAGACUCCUACGGGAGGCAGCAGUGGGGAAUAUUGGGCAAUGGGGGAAACCCUGACCCAGCAACGCCGCGUGAAGGAAGAAGGCCUUCGGGUUGUAAACUUCUUUAGCAGGACGAAGAACGUGACGGUACCUGCGGAAAAAGCAAACGGCUAACUAACGUGCCAG
Molecule: ribosomal RNA, 470 nt
Filed under: uncultured bacterium
Lineage: Bacteria
Description: bacterial SSU rRNA
Rfam family: Bacterial small subunit ribosomal RNA
Source: RNAcentral